Molecule: long non-coding RNA, 886 nt
Organism: Neofelis nebulosa (Clouded leopard)
Lineage: Eukaryota; Metazoa; Chordata; Mammalia; Carnivora; Felidae
Exons: 3
Source: RefSeq, a predicted model, not a curated record
GUCGCUGGCCACGAUGGAGUAGGAGACUUGGCCGUUGGGUCCCAGGUCGGGGUCGGAGGCGCUGACUUGGGCGAUAGAGGCUCCAGGAGGAUUGUUCUCAACCACGUGGACCACCUCUCCAGACUGACGAGCAUGUCUGCAUAGUUGGGCUGGGGGAAGAUCACGUGACUCUCCCCGGAGUCCGCGGUGAGGGAGACCUCGUGGGAAUACGUCUGCAGGAAAGCCCGCACCCCAUCCACGCCCACAAAGCGCGAGGCGGGCAAGCCAGCCAAUCCAACCCCCGCAGCCUGGAGCAGACGCGAUGAGCGCCAGCGCCUCAGUCUGAGAGCCAGCAGCACGAUCACAAAAGCGAGGAAGACGCAGGAGACUGUGGCCACCGCCACCACCAGGGUAAAGACUCAUUUUAUCCAUCAGGAUGUUAAAGUUCACCAGGCACCGUGCACUCUGAGCGCAGAGCUCCUCCCGGUCUAUUCUGCCUGCAGUGACCAAGCUGCCGCUUCGCGGAUUCAGAGCGAAAAGCUGUGUCCUACCUCUGGAGACGAUGCGGAUUCCGUGCUCUGCCAGUUCCCGGGGCUCCAGGCCCAGAUCCUUAGCGAUAUUACCCACAAAAGACCCUGUGUCUGUUUCCUCCGGCAAAGAGUAGAAAAUGUGUCCUGCCCAAGCUUCUCUCCGGGUCCCCAGGAGGAUGGAGAGCAGGAUGAAUCCUCUGUAGUCUCGACCCCUCUUCAGAGUCGCCAUUGUUGUCCUGCUGAUCUUGUUAGACACUGGACUAUCUCCUUUUGCGCUUAUGGAUGCCAGUGUGUCAGCGUGGAAUCCUUUGUAUUCAUAAGAGAAGCCCGGAAUUUAGUAUAAUAGAGACCUGAGUUUGAUGCAGCUUGGAAGAGAA